Molecule: ribosomal RNA, 450 nt
Filed under: uncultured bacterium
Lineage: Bacteria
Description: partial 16S ribosomal RNA
Rfam family: Bacterial small subunit ribosomal RNA
Source: RNAcentral
GUGGGGAAUUUUGGACAAUGGGCGCAAGCCUGAUCCAGCAAUGCCGCGUGUGUGAAGAAGGCCUUCAGGUUGUAAAGCACUUUUGGCAGGAAAGAAAUAGUGCGUGCUAAUACCAUGCGCGAAUGACGGUACCUGCAGAAUAAGCACCGGCUAACUACGUGCCAGCAGCCGCGGUAAGACGUAGGGUGCAAGCGUUAAUCGGAAUUACUGGGCGUAAAGCGUGCGCAGGCGGUUUUGUAAGACAGGUGUGAAAUCCCCGGGCUCAACCUGGGAACUGCACUUGUGACUGCAAGGCUAGAGUGUGUCAGAGGGAGGUGGAAUUCCGCGUGUAGCAGUGAAAUGCGUAGAGAUGCGGAGGAACACCGAUGGCGAAGGCAGCCUCCUGGGAUAACACUGACGCUCAGGCACGAAAGCGUGGGGAGCAAACAGGAUUAGAUACCCCGGUAGUCC